UCGAGAAUCUUUCGCAAUGGGCGAAAGCCUGACGAAGCGACGCCGUGUGAGCGAAGAAGGCCUUCGGGUUGUAAAGCUCUUUCGCUAGGGAACAAGAAAGGUAGGAUAACACCCUGCUGAUUUGAUGGUACUUGGUAAAGAAGCACCGGCUAACUCCGUGCCAGCAGCUGCGGUAAUACGGAGGGUGCAAGCAUUGAUCGGAAUUACUGGGCGUAAAGGGCGCGCAGGCGGUUUGAUAAGUCAGAUGUGAAAUUCCGGGGCUCAACCCCGGAGCGGCAUUUGAAACUAUUUAACUAGAGUUCAGUUAGGGAAAACGGAAUUCCACGUGUAGCGGUGAAAUGCGUAGAUAUGUGGAAGAACACCGGUGGUGAAGACGGUUUUCUGGGCUGAAACUGACGCUGAGGCGCGAAAGCUAGGGGAGCAAACAGG
Molecule: ribosomal RNA, 429 nt
Filed under: uncultured bacterium
Lineage: Bacteria
Description: bacterial SSU rRNA
Rfam family: Bacterial small subunit ribosomal RNA
Source: RNAcentral